CACCGGCAGCUCUAGUGGUAACAAUUUUUAUUGGGCCCUAAAGCGUCCGUAGCCGGUUUAAUAAGUCUCUGGUGAAAUCCUGUAGCUUAACUGUGGGAAUUGCUGGAGAUACUAUUAGACUUGAGACCGGGAGAGGUUAGAGGUACUCCCAGGGUAGAGGUGAAAUUCUGUAAUCCUGGGAGGACCGCCUGUUGCGAAGGCGUCUAACUGGAACGGUACUGACGGUGAGGCACGAAAGCGUGGGGAGCAAACAGGAUUAGAUACCCUGGUAGUCCCUGAGCGGGCU
This 286-nucleotide ribosomal RNA is filed under the name uncultured prokaryote. RNAcentral's name for it is "partial 16S ribosomal RNA". It matches the Rfam family "Archaeal small subunit ribosomal RNA", at positions 474 to 768 of the family's 1478-position model. The record is from RNAcentral.